Molecule: transfer RNA, 72 nt
Filed under: Chelonia mydas (Green sea turtle)
Lineage: Eukaryota; Metazoa; Chordata; Testudines; Cheloniidae
Rfam family: tRNA
About the family: Transfer RNA (tRNA) molecules are approximately 80 nucleotides in length. Their secondary structure includes four short double-helical elements and three loops (D, anti-codon, and T loops).
Source: Rfam by way of RNAcentral
GGCAGCAUGGCCUUGUGGUUAAGGCACUGUACUAGCAUGGUGGAGAUCUGGGUUCAAUGCCCAGCCCUGCUA